CCUACGGGCGGCAGCAGUGAGGAAUAUUGGUCAAUGGGCGCGAGCCUGAACCAGCCAAGUCGCGUGAAGGAUGACGGCCCUACGGGUUGUAAACUUCUUUUAUAAAGGAGUAAAGUGAGGCACGUGUGCCUUUUUGUGUGUACUUUAUGAAUAAGGAUCGGCUAACUCCGUGCCAGCAGCCGCGGUAAUACGGAGGAUCCGAGCGUUAUCCGGAUUUAUUGGGUUUAAAGGGAGCGUAGAUGGGUGGUUAAGUCAGUUGUGAAAAUUUGCGGCUCAACCGUAAAAUUGCAAUUGAUACUGGCAGGCUUGAGUACAGGUGAGGUAGGCGGAAUUCGUGGUGUAGCGGUGAAAUGCUUAGAUAUCACGAAGAACUCCGAUUGCGAAGGCAGCUUACUAAACUGCCACUGACAUUGAUGCUCGAAAGUGUGGGUAUCAAACAGGAUUAGAUACCCGGGUAGUC
Molecule: ribosomal RNA, 460 nt
Filed under: uncultured bacterium
Lineage: Bacteria
Description: partial 16S ribosomal RNA
Rfam family: Bacterial small subunit ribosomal RNA
Source: RNAcentral